Molecule: ribosomal RNA, 278 nt
Filed under: uncultured bacterium
Lineage: Bacteria
Description: partial 16S ribosomal RNA
Rfam family: Bacterial small subunit ribosomal RNA
Source: RNAcentral
UAGCCUACGGGACGCAGCAGUGGGGAAUAUUGCACAAUGGGGGAAACCCUGAUGCAGCGACGCCGCGUGAGUGAAGAAGUAUUUCGGUAUGUAAAGCUCUAUCAGCAGGGAAGAUAAUGACGGUACCUGAGUAAGAAGCCCCGGCUAACUACGUGCCAGCAGCCGCGGUAAUACGUAGGGGGCAAGCGUUAUCCGGAUUUACUGGGUGUAAAGGGAGCGUAGACGGCAGCGCAAGUCUGGAGUGCAAUGCCGGGGCCCAACCCCGGAACUGCUUUGGA